RNAcentral lists this ribosomal RNA (484 nucleotides) under uncultured bacterium. RNAcentral describes it as "partial 16S ribosomal RNA". It matches the Rfam family "Bacterial small subunit ribosomal RNA", at positions 29 to 507 of the family's 1533-position model. The record is from RNAcentral.
AGUGAACGCUGGCGGUAUGCUUUACACAUGCAAGUCGAACGGCAGCGCAGUCUUCGCCCGUUCUUCGGGGUGCCAAGUGGUGAGCAGUUGAGCGAUACAUUGGCAUUUGUUUUUUAGAGGGCGACGAAGUACGGAUUAAUACCCCAUUAGACCUGACGGUCAAAGGGUGGGAGCUUCGGACCUCUCGCUAUUGGACCGUCCGAUGGCAGAUUAGCUAGUUGGUGGGGUAAAGGCCUACCAAGGCGACGAUCUGUAGCUGGUCUGAGAGGAUGACCAGCCACACUGGGACUGAGACACGGCCCAGACUCCUACGGGAGGCAGCAGUGGGGAAUAUUGGACAAUGGGCGAAAGCCUGAUCCAGCAAUGCCGCGUGUGUGAAGAAGGCCUUCGGGUUGUAAAGCACUUUUGGUGGGAAAGAAAAGGACUGUGUCAAUACCCCGGUGCGAUGACGGUACCCGAAGAAUAAGCACCGGCUAACUACGUG